UGCAGUCGAGCGACAGAUAAGGAGCUUGCUCCUUUGACGUUAGCGGCGGACGGGUGAGUAACACGUGGAUAACCUACCUAUAAGACUGGGAUAACUUCGGGAAACCGGAGCUAAUACCGGAUAACAUAUUGAACCGCAUGGUUCAAUAGUGAAAGGCGGCUUUGCUGUCACUUAUAGAUGGAUCCGCGCCGUAUUAGCUAGUUGGUAAGGUAACGGCUUACCAAGGCAACGAUACGUAGCCGACCUGAGAGGGUGAUCGGCCACACUGGAACUGAGACACGGUCCAGACUCCUACGGGAGGCAGCAGUAGGGAAUCUUCCGCAAUGGGCGAAAGCCUGACGGAGCAACGCCGCGUGAGUGAUGAAGGUCUUCGGAUCGUAAAACUCUGUUAUCAGGGAAGAACAAAUGUGUAAGUAACUGUGCACAUCUUGACGGUACCUGAUCAGAAAGCCACGGCUAACUACGUGCCAGCAGCCGCGGUAAUACGUAGGUGGCAAGCGUUAUCCGGAAUUAUUGGGCGUAAAGCGCGCGUAGGCGGUUUUUUAAGUCUGAUGUGAAAGCCCACGGCUCAACCGUGGAGGGUCAUUGGAAACUGGAAAACUUGAGUGCAGAAGAGGAAAGUGGAAUUCCAUGUGUAGCGGUGAAAUGCGCAGAGAUAUGGAGGAACACCAGUGGCGAAGGCGACUUUCUGGUCUGUAACUGACGCUGAUGUGCGAAAGCGUGGGGAUCAAACAGGAUUAGAUACCCUGGUAGUCCACGCCGUAAACGAUGAGUGCUAAGUGUUAGGGGGUUUCCGCCCCUUAGUGCUGCAGCUAACGCAUUAAGCACUCCGCCUGGGGAGUACGACCGCAAGGUUGAAACUCAAAGGAAUUGACGGGGACCCGCACAAGCGGUGGAGCAUGUGGUUUAAUUCGAAGCAACGCGAAGAACCUUACCAAAUCUUGACAUCCUUUGACCGCUCUAGAGAUAGAGUCUUCCCCUUCGGGGGACAAAGUGACAGGUGGUGCAUGGUUGUCGUCAGCUCGUGUCGUGAGAUGUUGGGUUAAGUCCCGCAACGAGCGCAACCCUUAAGCUUAGUUGCCAUCAUUAAGUUGGGCACUCUAAGUUGACUGCCG
RNAcentral lists this ribosomal RNA (1115 nucleotides) under bacterium. RNAcentral describes it as "bacterial SSU rRNA". It matches the Rfam family "Bacterial small subunit ribosomal RNA", at positions 56 to 1154 of the family's 1533-position model. The record is from RNAcentral.